AGAAAAGUCUGGAUAAAAGGGUCUGCAAGGUUGCCUUCAUAUGCGACCUUGACUACAUCCACAAUUUCAUUUGUAAUUGCCUCUCUUAUGAUAUGAUACUUUUGAUCAAUAUGUUUGUAACACCUUUAACCUGUCUCCAUUACCGAAUUAGGGUUAUGGAGUGUUACCGAUCAAAAUAGAACAUUUAACUUUAUAACAGAAAAAAUUUUACAACUAAAUUCUAGCAUAUGACAAAUAAUUCGAUUCAUGACAUAAAUACACAUAUGCGCCUUAAAUCGAGCUUAGAAGGUCUUAAAUACAAUUUGG
Molecule: long non-coding RNA, 306 nt
Filed under: Gossypium barbadense (sea-island cotton)
Lineage: Eukaryota; Viridiplantae; Streptophyta; Magnoliopsida; Malvales; Malvaceae
Description: long non-coding RNA (GBAR_LNC010611)
Source: RNAcentral